AACGAACGCUGGCGGCAGGCUUAACACAUGCAAGUCGAGCGCCCCGCAAGGGGAGCGGCAGACGGGUGAGUACCGCGUGGGAACGUACCUUUUGGUUCGGAACAACUCCGGGAAACUGGAGCUAAUACCGGAUAAGCCCUAACGGGGAAAGAUUUAUCGCCGAAAGAUCGGCCCGCGUCUGAUUAGCUAGUUGGUGAGGUAACGGCUCACCAAGGCGACGAUCAGUAGCUGGUCUGAUAGGAUGAUCAGCCACACUGGGACUGAGACACGGCCCAGACUCCUACGGGAGGAAGAAGUGGGGAAGAGUGGACAAUGGGCGCAAGGCUGAUCCAGCCAUGCCGGGUGAGUGAUGAAGGCCUUAGGGUUGUAAAGCUCUUUUGUCCGGGAAGAUAAUGACUGUACCGGAAGAAUAAGCCCCGGAUAACUUCGUG
This 431-nucleotide ribosomal RNA is filed under the name uncultured bacterium. Its description in RNAcentral is "partial 16S ribosomal RNA". It matches the Rfam family "Bacterial small subunit ribosomal RNA", at positions 29 to 507 of the family's 1533-position model. The record is from RNAcentral.